GGGGUUGUGGCUCAGGGGCAGAGCACUUGUCCAGCAUGUGAGAGGCACUGGGUUCAAUCCUCAGCACCACA
This 71-nucleotide transfer RNA is filed under the name Marmota monax (woodchuck). RNAcentral's name for it is "tRNA.Ala". Lineage: Eukaryota; Metazoa; Chordata; Mammalia; Rodentia; Sciuridae. The record is from RNAcentral.